This 253-nucleotide ribosomal RNA is filed under the name uncultured bacterium. Its description in RNAcentral is "partial 16S ribosomal RNA". It matches the Rfam family "Bacterial small subunit ribosomal RNA", at positions 524 to 776 of the family's 1533-position model. The record is from RNAcentral.
UACGUAGGUGGCAAGCGUUGUCCGGAUUUACUGGGCGUAAAGAGCGCGCAGGCGGUCGUUCAAGUCGCGUGUGAAAGCCCCCGGCUCAACUGGGGAGGGUCACGCGAUACUGAUCGACUCGAAGGCAGGAGAGGGUAGUGGAAUUCCCGGUGUAGUGGUGAAAUUCGUAGAUAUUCGGAAGAACACCAGUGGCGAAGGCGGCUCACUGGCCCGGUACUGACGCUGAGGUGCGAAAGCGUGGGGAGCAAACAGG